UACGUAGGGUGCAAGCGUUAUCCGGAAUUACUGGGCGUAAAGAGUGUGUAGGCGGUCUUUUAAGUUAGAUGUUAAAUCUGCGGGCUCAACUCGUAGGCUGCAUCUAAUACUGGGAGACUUGAGAGUGGAAGGGGCUGACGGAAUUUUCGGUGGAGCGGUAAAAUGCGUAGAUAUCGAAAAGAACACCAAUGGCGAAGGCAGUCAGCUGGGCCAUUUCUGACGCUGAGACACGAAAGCGUGGGGAGCGAUCGGG
Molecule: ribosomal RNA, 253 nt
Filed under: uncultured bacterium
Lineage: Bacteria
Description: partial 16S ribosomal RNA
Rfam family: Bacterial small subunit ribosomal RNA
Source: RNAcentral